UGAGUUAUGGUGUAACGGUAGCACAACAGAUUCUGACUCUGUUUGUCUAGGUUCGAAUCCUGGUAACUCAACGA
RNAcentral lists this transfer RNA (74 nucleotides) under Fibrobacter sp. UWH3. Its description in RNAcentral is "tRNA-Gln". It matches the Rfam family "tRNA". From Rfam's summary of the family: Transfer RNA (tRNA) molecules are approximately 80 nucleotides in length. Their secondary structure includes four short double-helical elements and three loops (D, anti-codon, and T loops). Further hydrogen bonds mediate the characteristic L-shaped molecular structure. tRNAs have two regions of fundamental functional importance: the anti-codon, which is responsible for specific mRNA codon recognition, and the 3' end, to which the tRNAs corresponding amino acid is attached (by aminoacyl-tRNA synthetases). tRNAs cope with the degeneracy of the genetic code in two manners: having more than one tRNA (with a specific anti-codon) for a particular amino acid; and 'wobble' base-pairing, i.e. permitting non-standard base-pairing at the 3rd anti-codon position. The record is from RNAcentral. RNAcentral also lists the same sequence under 1 other name. Lineage: Bacteria; Pseudomonadati; Fibrobacterota; Fibrobacteria; Fibrobacterales; Fibrobacteraceae.